RNAcentral lists this ribosomal RNA (395 nucleotides) under uncultured bacterium. RNAcentral's name for it is "bacterial SSU rRNA". It matches the Rfam family "Bacterial small subunit ribosomal RNA", at positions 29 to 410 of the family's 1533-position model. The record is from RNAcentral.
AACGAACGUUGGCGGCGUGGAUGAGGCAUGCAAGUCGAACGCGAAAGCCGCAAGGCGAGUAAAGUGGCGGACGGGCGAGUAACACGUAAUCAAGCUACCUGUGAGACGGGGAUAACUUCGGGAAACCGAAGCUAAGACCCGAUGGCCUUAGGAGACCGCAUGGUUUCCUAAGUAAAUGGGCGGGACCUUUCGGGGUCGCCUGCUCGCAGAGGUGAUUGCGGCCCAUCAGCUAGUUGGUAGGGUAAUGGCCUACCAAGGCAACGACGGGUAGCCGGCCUUAGAGGGUGGUCGGCCGCACUGGGACUGAGACACUGCCCAGACUCCUACGGGAGGCAGCAGUGGGGAAUUUUGGACAAUGGGCGCAAGCCUGAUCCAGCCAUGCCGCGUGAGUGAAG